UGACCCUGGACUUUCUUUGUUGUUGGGAGUUUUUAAAUCACAGAUUCAAUUUCAGUACUUGUUGUUGGUCUAUUCAUAUUUUUUAUUUCUUCCGGGUUCAACUUUGGGAGAUUGUACCCUUCUAUGAAUUUUUCUAUUUCUUCUAGGUUGUCCAUUUUAUUGGCGUAUAGUUGUCUGCAGUAGUUAGUCUCUUAUCGUCCUUUGUAUUUCUCUGCUGUCUGUUGUAACUUCUCCUUUUUCAUUUCUAAUUUUAUUGAUUUGUGUCCUCUUCCUUUUUUUCUUAAUGAGACUGGCUAAAGGUUUCUUCAAUUUUAUCUAUCUUUUCAAAGAAACAGCUUUUAGUUUUAUUGAUUUUUCUAUUUUUACUUCAUCUCUUUCAUUUACUUUGGCUUUGAUAUUUAUG
Molecule: long non-coding RNA, 403 nt
Organism: Aethalodelphis obliquidens (Pacific white-sided dolphin)
Lineage: Eukaryota; Metazoa; Chordata; Mammalia; Artiodactyla; Delphinidae
Exons: 3
Source: RefSeq, a predicted model, not a curated record